This 329-nucleotide ribosomal RNA is filed under the name uncultured eukaryote. RNAcentral's name for it is "partial 18S ribosomal RNA". It matches the Rfam family "Eukaryotic small subunit ribosomal RNA", at positions 1470 to 1796 of the family's 1831-position model. The record is from RNAcentral.
CCCUUAGAUGUUCUGGGCCGCACGCGCGCUACACUGAUGCAUUCAACGAGUCUAAAACCUGCUCUGAUAGGGGUGGGUAAUCUUUUGAAUGUGCAUCGUGAUUGGGAUAGAUGAUUGCAAUUUUUCAUCUUCAACGAGGAAUGCCUAGUAAACGCAAGUCAUCAGCUUGCAUUGAUUACGUCCCUGCCCUUUGUACACACCGCCCGUCGCUCCUACCGAUUGAAUGAUCCGAUGAAUAUCAUGGAUUGAGGAUGCAAGUAGGUUCGCCUAUCUUCAUCUUCGAGAAGUGAAGUAAAUCUUAUCAUUUAGAGGAAGGAGAAGUCGUAACG